This 329-nucleotide unclassified non-coding RNA is filed under the name soil metagenome. RNAcentral describes it as "partial contains 5.8S ribosomal RNA, internal transcribed spacer 2, and large subunit ribosomal RNA". The stretch from base 1 to 120 matches the Rfam family "5.8S ribosomal RNA", at positions 35 to 154 of the family's 154-position model. The record is from RNAcentral.
GAUGAAGAACGCAGCGAAAUGCGAUAAGUAAUGUGAAUUGCAGAGUUCAGUGAAUCAUCGAAUCUUUGAACGCACAUUGCGCCCCCUGGUAUUCCGGGGGGCAUGCCUGUCCGAGCGUCAUUACAACCCUCAAGCUCAGCUUGGUGUUGGGCCCCGCCGCCCCGGCGGGCCCUAAAGUCAGUGGCGGUGCCGUCCGGCUCCGAGCGUAGUAAUUCUUCUCGCUCUGGAGGUCCGGUCGUGUGCUUGCCAGCAACCCCCAAUUUUUUUCAGGUUGACCUCGGAUCAGGUAGGGAUACCCGCUGAACUUAAGCAUAUCAAUAAGCGGAGGA